GAUGAACGCUGGCGGCGUGCCUAACACAUGCAAGUCGAACGGAUGCUUUCGGGCAUUAGUGGCGCACGGGUGAGUAACACGUGGCUGACCUACCUCAGAGUAGGGGAUAACGUUCCGAAAGGAAUGCUAAUACCCUAUAAGCUUCCGACGGUUAGAGGGUUGGGAGAAAAGUUCAGGCGCUUUGAGAGGGGGCUGCGGGCCAUCAGCUAGUUGGUGAGGUAACGGCUCACCAAGGCGACGACGGCUAGGGGGCCUGAGAGGGUGACCCCCCACACUGGAACUGAGAGACGGUCCAGACUCCUACGGGAGGCAGCAGUGAGGAAUAUUGCACAAUGGGCGCAAGCCUGAUGCAGCGACGCCGCGUGGGUGAUGAAGGCUUUCGGGU
This 385-nucleotide ribosomal RNA is filed under the name uncultured bacterium. Its description in RNAcentral is "bacterial SSU rRNA". It matches the Rfam family "Bacterial small subunit ribosomal RNA", at positions 28 to 423 of the family's 1533-position model. The record is from RNAcentral.